GGUGAAUGGAAACAACUUUCCAGUCAUCCAGUAACUGGUCCGUUCAAGUCCAAAAUGCCUCCUGGGAGAGAUCAUUUUGCAGGGGCUACAUCAAAUGUCGUGCAGCCUCCCUGGGCAGGAUUUGCAGCUGUUCUGGAAUGAAAGGAACCUAUUUCCCUGUGGGACUGCCCAGCUUUCAGCCCUGCUUCUGGGGGAAGAGUUCACCACAGGACACCUCGUGUAUCUGCUCUGGUUUGAAACCAAACAUACUGAGAAAUGUUGAGAAACCCAACUCCCAACCAUCACCCACUGCUGGAGCCUGUGGGGCUGAGCUGGACCCCAAGGAGGAGCGCUUUGUGCCAGUGCCC
Neopelma chrysocephalum (saffron-crested tyrant-manakin) is the source of this 347-nucleotide long non-coding RNA. RefSeq lists it as uncharacterized. Lineage: Eukaryota; Metazoa; Chordata; Aves; Passeriformes; Pipridae. The record is from RefSeq and is a predicted model, not a curated record. The transcript is spliced from 3 exons.